UUGGAGGGCAAGUCUGGUGCCAGCAGCCGCGGUAAUUCCAGCUCCAAUAGCGUAUAUUAAAGUUGUUGCAGUUAAAAAGCUCGUAGUUGAAUUUCGGGAUCAAAUUGUUGGUCGUGCCUCGGUACGCACUGGUAUUAUUGGUUCCUACCUUCUGAAGAACCGCGAUGUCAUUAAUUUGGUGUCGUGGGGAAUCAGGACUGUUACUUUGAAAAAAUUAGAGUGUUUAAAGCAGGCUUACGCUUGAAUACAUUAGCAUGGAAUAAUGAAAUAGGACGUUUGAUUCUAUUUUGUUGGUUUCUAGGAUUGACGUAAUGAUUAAUAGGGAUAGUUGGGGGCAUUAGUAUUCAAUUGUCAGAGGUGAAAUUCUUGGAUUUAUUGAAGACUAACUACUGCGAAAGCAUUUGCCAAGGGUGUUUUCAUUAAUCAAGAACGAAAGUUAGGGGAUCGAAGACGAUCAGAUACCGUCGUAGUCUUAACCAUAAACUAUGCCGACUAGGGAUCGGAUGAUGUUAAUUUUUUAAUGACUCAUUCGGCGCCUUACGGGAAAC
RNAcentral lists this ribosomal RNA (548 nucleotides) under uncultured Glomeromycotina. RNAcentral's name for it is "SSU rRNA". It matches the Rfam family "Eukaryotic small subunit ribosomal RNA", at positions 548 to 1098 of the family's 1831-position model. The record is from RNAcentral. Lineage: Eukaryota; Fungi; Glomeromycota.